Molecule: transfer RNA, 72 nt
Filed under: Myotis brandtii (Brandt's bat)
Lineage: Eukaryota; Metazoa; Chordata; Mammalia; Chiroptera; Vespertilionidae
Rfam family: tRNA
About the family: Transfer RNA (tRNA) molecules are approximately 80 nucleotides in length. Their secondary structure includes four short double-helical elements and three loops (D, anti-codon, and T loops).
Source: Rfam by way of RNAcentral
GUUGUAGUGGCUCAGUGUCUGAGCAUCAGCCUAUGAAGCAGGAGGUCCUGGGUUUGAUUCCCAGUCAGGGCA